This 383-nucleotide ribosomal RNA is filed under the name uncultured eukaryote. RNAcentral describes it as "partial 18S ribosomal RNA". It matches the Rfam family "Eukaryotic small subunit ribosomal RNA", at positions 592 to 976 of the family's 1831-position model. The record is from RNAcentral.
CAAUAGCGUAUAUUAAAGUUGUUGCAGUUAAAAAGCUCGUAGUUGGAUUUCUGGUAGGAGUGACCGUUCCGAACUUGAUUGUUCGUGUAUUGUGUUUUCUCCAGCCAUCCUUGUGGAGAACUUUUCUUGCAUUAAUUUGUAGGGAUUGGGACCCGCAUCGUUUACUGUGAAAAAAUUAGAGUGUUUAAAGCAGGCAAUCGCUUGAAUACAUUAGCAUGGAACAAUAAGAUAGGACUUUGGUACUAUUUUGUUGGUUUGCAUACCAAAUUAAUGAUCAACAGGAACAGUUUGAGGAUAUUCGUAUGAACAUGUCAGAGGUGAAAUUCUUGGAUUUUGAUCAGACGAACUACUGCGAAAGCAUUUAUCAAGGAUGUUUUCAUUAA